AUAMAUGCAAGUCGAGCGGACAGAAGGGAGCUUGCUCCCGGAUGUUAGCGGCGGACGGGUGAGUAACACGUGGGUAACCUGCCUGUAAGACUGGGAUAACUCCGGGAAACCGGAGCUAAUACCGGAUAGUUCCUUGAACCGCAUGGUUCAAGGAUGAAAGACGGUUUCGGCUGUCACUUACAGAUGGACCCGCGGCGCAUUAGCUAGUUGGUGGGGUAAUGGCUCACCAAGGCGACGAUGCGUAGCCGACCUGAGAGGGUGAUCGGCCACACUGGGACUGAGACACGGCCCAGACUCCUACGGGAGGCAGCAGUAGGGAAUCUUCCGCAAUGGACGAAAGUCUGACGGAGCAACGCCGCGUGAGUGAUGAAGGUUUUCGGAUCGUAAAGCUCUGUUGUUAGGGAAGAACAAGUGCGAGAGUAACUGCUCGCACCUUGACGGUACCUAACCAGAAAGCCACGGCUAACUACGUGCCAGCAGCCGCGGUAAUACGUAGGUGGCAAGCGUUGUCCGGAAUUAUUGGGCGUAAAGGGCUCGCAGGCGGUUUCUUAAGUCUGAUGUGAAAGCCCCCGGCUCAACCGGGGAGGGUCAUUGGAAACUGGGAAACUUGAGUGCAGAAGAGGAGAGUGGAAUUCCACGUGUAGCGGUGAAAUGCGUAGAGAUGUGGAGGAACACCAGUGGCGAAGGCGACUCUCUGGUCUGUAACUGACGCUGAGGAGCGAAAGCGUGGGGAGCGAACAGGAUUAGAUACCCUGGUAGUCCACGCCGUAAACGAUGAGUGCUAAGUGUUAGGGGGUUUCCGCCCCUUAGUGCUGCAGCUAACGCAUUAAGCACUCCGCCUGGGGAGUACGGUCGCAAGACUGAACUCAAWWWUUUUUGGGGGGGGGGG
RNAcentral lists this ribosomal RNA (889 nucleotides) under Bacillus pumilus. RNAcentral's name for it is "bacterial SSU rRNA". It matches the Rfam family "Bacterial small subunit ribosomal RNA", at positions 51 to 923 of the family's 1533-position model. Lineage: Bacteria; Bacillati; Bacillota; Bacilli; Caryophanales; Bacillaceae. The record is from RNAcentral.